RNAcentral lists this ribosomal RNA (253 nucleotides) under uncultured bacterium. RNAcentral's name for it is "partial 16S ribosomal RNA". It matches the Rfam family "Bacterial small subunit ribosomal RNA", at positions 524 to 776 of the family's 1533-position model. The record is from RNAcentral.
UACGUAGGGGGCAAGCGUUGUCCGGAUUUACUGGGCGUAAAGCGCGUGUAGGCGGCCAGAUAGGUCGGUUGUGAAAACUGGAGGCUCAACCUCCAGACGUCGACCGAAACCAUCUGGCUAGAGUCCGGAAGAGGAGAGUGGAAUUCCUGGUGUAGCGGUGAAAUGCGCAGAUAUCAGGAAGAACACCGGUGGCGAAGGCGGCUCUCUGGGACGGUACUGACGCUGAGACGCGAAAGCGUGGGGAGCGAACAGG